This 305-nucleotide ribosomal RNA is filed under the name uncultured bacterium. RNAcentral describes it as "bacterial SSU rRNA". It matches the Rfam family "Bacterial small subunit ribosomal RNA", at positions 333 to 655 of the family's 1533-position model. The record is from RNAcentral.
AGAGCCCUACGGGGCGCAGCAGUGGGGAAUAUUGCACAAUGGGGGAAACCCUGAUGCAGCGAUGCCGCGUGGAGGUAGAAGGUUUUCGGAUUGUAAACUCCUUUUAUCAGGGACGAUAAUGACGGUACCUGAAGAAAAAGCUCCGGCUAACUACGUGCCAGCAGCCGCGGUAAUACGUAGGGAGCGAGCGUUGUCCGGAAUUACUGGGUGUAAAGGGAGCGUAGGCGGGACGGCAAGUCAGAUGUGAAAACUGAGGGCUCAACUUUCAGACUGCAUUUGAAACUGCUGUUCUUGAGUGAAUGAGG